UACGUAGGUGACCAGCGUUGUCCGGAUUUACUGGGCGUAAAGAGCGCGCAGGCGGUCGUUCAAGUCGAGUGUGAAAGCCCCCGGCUCAACUGGGGAGGGUCACUCGAUACUGAUCGACUUGAAGGCAGGAGAGGGAAGCGGAAUUCCCGGUGUAGUGGUGAAAUGCGUAGAUAUCGGGAGGAACACCAGUGGCGAAAGCGGCUCACUGGACCAUAACUGACGCUGAUGCACGAAAGCUAGGGGAGCAAACAGG
This 253-nucleotide ribosomal RNA is filed under the name uncultured bacterium. RNAcentral's name for it is "partial 16S ribosomal RNA". It matches the Rfam family "Bacterial small subunit ribosomal RNA", at positions 524 to 776 of the family's 1533-position model. The record is from RNAcentral.